AUGGCAGGUAGACCAAUACAUGUUAAAUAUGUUGAAGUAUAAAUUAAGUACAAUAUAUGUACACAUAUCCAUGCAGUUGUUUUGCUGCAGACUUUGAAAUAGUGUACAAUUAACCUGGGAAGGAAAUCAAAAAUGCAGGCGGACAAAAAUAGAGGGAUUGGGAAUUCUAUAUAGUGGUUCACACUCAUCUCCCAGAGUUCUUUUGCUGGGUGUAGCUGAUUCAGUUCAUUAUUGUUCUAUUGGAACUCCUUUGGUUCAUCUCAUUGUUGAAGAGGGUCACGUCUACCAGAAUUGAUCAUCAUAUAUAGUAUUGUUGUUGAAGUAUAUAAUGAUCUCCUGGUCCUGCUCAUUUCACUCAGCAUCAGUUCAUGUAAGUCUCUCCAGGCCUUUCUGAAAUCCCCCUGCUGGCCAUUUCUUAGAGAACAAUAAUAUUCCAUAACAAUCAUAUACCACAAUUUAUUCAGCCAUUCUCCAAUUAAUGGGCAUCCACUCAGUUUCCAGUUUCUGGCCACUACAAAGAGGACUGCCACAAACAUUCUUGUACAUACAGGUUCCUUUCCAUUUUUUAAUAUUUCUUUGGGGUAUAAGCCCAGUAGUAACACUGCUGGAUUAAAGGGUAUGCACAGGUUGAUAACUUUUUGAGGAUAGUGCCAAAUUGCUCUCCAGAAUGGCUGGAUGUAUUCACAGUUCCACCAACAAUGUAUCAGUAUCCCAGUUUUCCCCCAUCCCCUCCAAUAUUCAGCAUUAUCUUUCCCUGUCAUUCUAGCCAAUCUGAGAGGUGUGUAGUGAUAUCUCAGAGUUGUCUUAAUUUGCAUUUCUCUGAUUAAUAAUGACUUGGAGUAUCUUUUCAUAUGGCUAGAAAUAGUUUCUAUUUCUUCAUCUGAGAAUUGUCUGUUCAUAUCCUUUCACCAUUUAUCAAUCGGAGAAUGGCUUGAUUUCUUAUAAAUUAGAGUCAGUUCUCUAUAUAUUUUGGAAAUGAGGCCUUUAUCAGAACCUUUGUCUGUAAAAAUGUUUUCCCAGUUUAUUGCUUCCCUUCUAAUCUUGUCUACAUUAGUUUUGUUUGUACAAAAGCUUUUCAAUUUGAUAUAAUCAAAAGUUUCCAAUUUGGGAUCAAUAAUGAUCUCUACUUCUUUGGUCAUAAAUUCCUUCCUCCUCCACAGGUCUGAGAGGUAAACUAUCCUAUAUUCCUCUAAUUUAUGAUCUUGUUCUUUAUGCCUAAAUCAUGGACCCAUUUUGAUCUUAUCUUGGUGUACGGUGUUAAUUGUGGGUCAAUGCCUAGUUUUUGCCAUACUAAUUUCCAAUUUUCCCAGCAAUUUUUGUGAAACAGUGAAUUCUUAUCCCAAAAGCUGGGAUAUUUGGGUUUGUCAUAUACUAGAUUAUUAAAGUUAUUGACUAUUUUUUAUUUGAACCUAACCUAUUCCACUGAUCAACUAGUCUAUUUCUUAGCCAAUACCAAAUGGUUUUGGUAACUGCUACUUUAUAAUAUAAUUUUAGAUCUGGUACAGCUAGGCCAACUUCAUUUGAUUUUUUUUUUCAUUAGUUUCCUUGAAAUUCUUGACCUUUUGUUCUUCCAUAUGAACUUUGUUGUUAUUUUUUCUAGGUCAUUAAAAUAGAUUUUGGGGAGUCUGAUAGGUAUAGCACUAAAUAAAUAGAUUAGUUUAGGUAAUAUUGUCAUCUUUAUUAUAUUUGCUCGUCCUAUCCAAGAACACUUAAUAUUUUUCCAAUUGGUUAGAUAUAACUUUAUUUGUGUAAAAACUGUUUUGUAGUUUUGCUCAUAUAAUUCCUGACUUUCCCUUGGCAAACAGAUUCCCAUAUAUUUUAUACUAUCGAUAAUUACCUUAAAUGGAAUAUCUCUUUGUAACUCUAUUGUUGGAUUUUGUUAGUGAUAUAUAAGAAUGCUAAUGAUUUAUGUGUGUUUAUUUUGUAUCCUGCAACUUUGCUAAAGGUGUGGAUUAUUGCUAAUAAAAAU
Sarcophilus harrisii (Tasmanian devil) is the source of this 1969-nucleotide long non-coding RNA. The record is from Ensembl. Lineage: Eukaryota; Metazoa; Chordata; Mammalia; Dasyuromorphia; Dasyuridae.